ACAACAAUUCACCUUAAAAAUUAACCCUAUGCCCGAUGAAAUAGCCCUCUUUCACAAUACAACCUGCCUUCAGUAUAUUGUACUCCUCCGCUCAACCUUCAGCGAUUGUACUCAUCUGCUCAGCCUUCAAUAGAUUGUACUUCUUUGCUUAGCCGCAACUGCAACUAUAGGGCAACGAUUCCCUUCCGAAGAUGCAAGUCCCGUGAAAUCCUGCAAAGGUGCUCCCGUGAAGGAACAGAGAAUUUUCUUCUCAAGUUGCACAGAUUCAUCCUCUGUUCUGCCAUGAAGGUGACGAUAUUGAAGAUGUAAAUAUGGAAGUUGGUGGGCUACAAAAGGUGUAGAAGAAACCGUGAAGGGAACAACUGCUACUUCCGAUUUUAAGAACCCAAAGGCAUUGUGCGACUGGAGGCAAUGGGAAGGGAUUCCGUUCAAUGCCCUAGGUUCCUCAAGAUUUUCGAGUCACUUUGUGAAGUGUCUUCAACUUCAAGCGCGGCUUCAGCAUUAAAAUCGGUAAUCUAUCUAACCUCUUCUUCCAUAUUUGGAGUCACCUCUGUUUUGAAAUCAUUGUUCAAACAACCAUAGUUUAGGGUUAUUGCAUCAUCUUGUUUUGUCUGUGUCUCUGCCACAACAUGGUGGAGCAAACAAAGUAAAUCAAUAAAUAAAUAAAUCAGAAUGGGGUUUCUUUUUGUCGGCCUUCAUUGGAGUAACUAAAAUAUAUAAGAACAAUACUCACCUUAACUACCAUCUUUAGGCUCUUUGCAUUAUCUUGCUGGACAAUUUGAGCAUUUGGGUAGAAACUGUGGUUGCACAUAUCAAUGAGAGGAAGCAUCAUAGGCACAUUAGCGUGUUCCUCUGCCACAUGCUCCCCACAGGGUACAAUUUACUCCUUGAAUUGAAAACUCACUCUAUCCUAGUUUGCAAGAUAUUGAGUCAUGAACCUACAUUUAUGAUAUAGAAAUGCACAUGCUAUUGUUGAAGACCGAGGACUAUGUAUUUAGUGAAUGAUGUAUAUACUUGCUUUGAAAAAAUCAUUGUAUCACAAUUUUAACACUUCCCUAUUUAAUUAGUAACACCAUGAAGGGCUUGCAAGUAGCAGUUCUUGAAAUUGUAUCAAUAAAAAAAUCUAGCAGCGCAAGAUAUAAUACUGCAGGUAUUAAAUUAAUAGCUAACUCAUCAUUCUCAAAGGCAAUGGCUACUUGCUUGAGUGCCACUACAUCAAGCAAGGAUGGAAAUAGUUUCUUUCUUUCCUAAUAACAUGCCCGCUAUAGAAUAAUUGGUCUAUUUGAAACAUAGUUCAGUAAAUUCCAUUACUUCACAGUAAAAGAUGCUUUAUUCCUUAUCUUCCACAGGCCCCAUACAGUGGCAAUGAAACCACUCUCCCACAUAAUCCAACCUCAAAACCCCAAGUAAUUAAAGCCCAGACAAGUAGAAAAUCAUUAUGUCUCUGAAGGGUUUACCUAGAUUUACUCUAAACAGACAUAAUAACUCUAUAUUGUUCUUCCCUCAUAGUGUAAGAAAAGAUCCCAACCACUUUUAUUCUCCUUUUUCACACCUAUAGCAUCAGUUAACAGAGUAGAAUCCACUUGGUUUAAAAAUAAUAAAUUUUCAGUGCUAUCAUCCAAGAAAUGCUUCUAUUAUUGGAGGAACAAUUGAUCACCAAAUGGAGUCCAUGGUGAUGCUGCUGCAGGAAAGAAGGGGAGAAGGGGUUAAACUCUGUUUUCUUGUAGCAAUCUUGUAAUUUUUUGCAGUAUGGUUAUGAGGGGUCAGAUUGGGUUUUAUGUUGUUUAUUUUCUGUUAUUGAGUCCUAGUUGAUGUUCCAGAGUCAUUAGGGUUUGAGAUUGAUUUUUUUUCCUUCAAAAUGAUUCAAAUAGGAUUCCUUUCGUUCUUCAAGUUUUCUUUGGGAUAAGCACCAUUUAUGCUAUUGCUAAUAAUUUACCUAUAUGAAAUGUUUGCUUAAUCAAUUAUGUAUGUUCAGAGUUAUGAGAUCUCCAAGAACCCCUAACCCCAAAAGCACUACUAUUAUUUGGAAUGAAGCUGAGAUUCGAGCAUUCAUCAACCAAAUGGUUGAGAAUGUAAGGAAAGGUUAGACGACCAACUCCACAUUCACAAAGAUAGGAUGGGAUAAUAUUUUAAAAGGCUUAAAAGCCGAAUUCAAUUGACCGUUUGGGAAGGAGCAACUCCAUAACAAGAUGAACAAAUUACGGAAGAAGUACAAUAGCUUCAAGUGUUUAUUGGAAACAACGGGAUUUGGAUGUGAUGCAAAUGCUAGGACUACUACAACUGAAGAUUCUGUGUGGGAAUCUGCUAUUAAGGAAAACAAAGUGUGGGCUAGAUAUAAAAGAAAUGGUCUUCCAUGGUGGCCAGAGUUAUUAGAGAUCUUCUCUGACUCAAGUGCCUGUGGGGAUAGAGGGAUUUCAUAGACUACUGUUGUAACUCCUAGGUCCACAAACCUUGGUAAUGAUGAUGAUGAUUUUCAGGAGAGUGAUCCUGAUGAUAGUGAAGGUUGUAGUGGCUCACCAAACAGAUUUGCUCCUCCCAAGAGGUGACUUGACAGGACUCUUACGGAUCAUAGGAGGAAGAGCCAGACAUGGACAGUCACAAACUCUGCUAAGGACUUCAGAGAAUUUGUGCGAUGGAGGAUGGAAAAGGGUAACUCCUAUGCCAUUUCUGCCAUAGUCAGACCUCCUGAUUCUAUGUUGGAUGGACCACAUAGUGUGAUGAGCUGUCAAAAGCUACUGGGCACUACAGAAGAUAUUCUGUCAGAGAUGUAUGUGAUGGCUCAGCAGAAGAUACAUAGUGAUCCUUGUUGGUGCUUGUCUUUCAUGGAGGUGAGGCCGGAUAGGACGCUGUGGAUGAUACAACACCUGAAGGAGCUCCCAUGACUUGGAUCAGUUGGUUCUUGCAUGGUUUUCAAGACAGAUGGACAAGCUUUUUUGGGCUGUUUAUGUCAGUCUUUAGUACUUAUAUACUUUACUAACUACUUCGCUUUUUAAUGGUUUCUGAUUUUGAUGCUUGAUAGUUGUUGGAUGUUUUUAAUUUGUUUGAAGACAUAAUAUUUUCAGUUAUGCAUAUUUCUGCUAGGAUUGGUAGAUACUUUUUAUUAACUAUUUAAUACAUGAUGCUAAGUAUAUUAGCAUAUAGACAAGAAUGCUAAUGGUUGUGGAUUA
RNA transcript from Macadamia integrifolia, 3167 nucleotides. RefSeq lists it as uncharacterized. Lineage: Eukaryota; Viridiplantae; Streptophyta; Magnoliopsida; Proteales; Proteaceae. The record is from RefSeq and is a predicted model, not a curated record. The transcript is spliced from 3 exons.